This is a non-coding RNA of Lupinus albus (white lupine), 272 nucleotides long. The record is from the annotation of a GenBank genome assembly. NCBI's taxonomy places the organism in Eukaryota, Viridiplantae, Streptophyta, Magnoliopsida, Fabales, Fabaceae.
GGCAUGAGAGAACGAAGAAGAGAAAGAUACUCAUUCAUUUGUUUUCUUCUGUUACGUUCAACAGCAAUUUGAGAAGGUCUUUGAUUGAAACAUAAGCAAAAGGGUGUUGUGGUUGUUGUGGAUAUAUCACUGCUUCUAGUGCCAUGUUUCUAUGCAAACACAUGUCAAAGAUUUUUCAUGUUCAGAGAUUAUUGCAGUGAAAGAAAGAAAGAAUUGAGUCUUCUUGACAAGUAUUUUUCUCAAGUUUUUAAAGGGAUUUGAAGUGAAGAUAC